Tupaia belangeri chinensis (Chinese tree shrew) is the source of this 218-nucleotide long non-coding RNA. RefSeq lists it as uncharacterized. The transcript has 3 exons. Lineage: Eukaryota; Metazoa; Chordata; Mammalia; Scandentia; Tupaiidae. The record is from RefSeq and is a predicted model, not a curated record.
GGCCGGCGCGGAGCGGGCCGCGGGAGAGCCGGCCGGCGCGCGCGAUGGCGCAAGCUCUAGAAGCCCGAUGUGAUUCAUGUCUGCAGGUGACGGCUGUGUGUUCCUGUGUCAUCCCCUCCAAGCACUUGAGACAUUUUGUAAUUGGACCUUUGUCUACUUGUUUGUCAGAAGGAAGCUGCCUCAGAAGGCAAGAGGGAGACGUUCCGUACUGCAGACAU